GUAAAAGCAAACUCGCGGGAAACCCGAGGACGCAAAGCUAUGGGUCUACGUCUUCGAAAAAAAGGAUAAGACAGCCGGUUGCCA
RNAcentral lists this non-coding RNA (84 nucleotides) under Candidatus Borkfalkia ceftriaxoniphila. Its description in RNAcentral is "Cyclic di-GMP-I riboswitch". It matches the Rfam family "c-di-GMP-I riboswitch aptamer". From Rfam's summary of the family: GEMM was predicted in a large-scale screen for bacterial structured RNA regulatory elements. Lineage: Bacteria; Bacillati; Bacillota; Clostridia; Christensenellales; Christensenellaceae. The record is from RNAcentral.